AACGAACGCUGGCGGCAUGCCUAACACAUGCAAGUCGAACGAGAUCUUCGGGUCUAGUGGCGCACGGGUGCGUAACGCGUGGGAAUCUGCCCUUUGGUUCGGGAUAACAGUUGGAAACGACUGCUAAUACCGGAUGAUGACGAAAGUCCAAAGAUUUAUCGCCAGAGGAUGAGCCCGCGUAGGAUUAACUAGUUGGUGUGGUAAAGGCGCACCAAGGCGACGAGCCUUAGCUGGUCUGAGAGGAUGAACAGCCACACUGGGACUGAGACACGGCCCAGAAUCCUACGGGAGGCAGCAGUGUGGAAUAUUGGACAAUGGGCGAAAGCAUGAACCAGCAAUGCCGCGUGAGUGAUGAAGGCCUUAGGGUUGUAAAGCUCUUGUACCCGGGAUGAUAGUGACAGUACCGGGAGAAUAAGCGCCGGCUAACUCCGUGCCAGCCGCCGCAGUAA
Molecule: ribosomal RNA, 449 nt
Filed under: uncultured bacterium
Lineage: Bacteria
Description: partial 16S ribosomal RNA
Rfam family: Bacterial small subunit ribosomal RNA
Source: RNAcentral